UCUCUGCUCUGCUCUCCCCAG
Molecule: microRNA, 21 nt
Filed under: Homo sapiens (human)
Lineage: Eukaryota; Metazoa; Chordata; Mammalia; Primates; Hominidae
Description: hsa-miR-6728-3p
Source: miRBase by way of RNAcentral